GUUAAAACGCUCGUAGUCGGAUUUCGGGGCCUGCCUGCCGGUCUGCCGAUGGGUAUGCACUGGCAGGCGCGUCCUUCCUUCCGGAGACUGUCCCUACUCUUAACUGAGCGGGGUCGGGAGACGGAUCGUUUACUUUGAAAAAAUCAGAGUGUUUCAAGCAGGCAGCUCGCUCUUGCAUGGAUUAGCAUGGGAUAAUGAAAUAGGACUUUGGUGCUAUUUUGUUGGUUCCGAACACCGAAGUAAUGAUUAACAGGGACAGUCAGGGGCACUCGUAUUCCGCCGAGAGAGGUGAAAUUCUCAGACCAGCGGAAGACGAACCACUGCGAAAGCAUUUGCCAGGGAUGUUUUCACUGAUCAAGAACGAAAGUUAGGGGAUCGAAGACGAUCAGAUACCGUCGUAGUCUUAACCAUAAACCAUGCCGACUAGGGAUUGGAGGAUGUCCUUUUUUGACUCCUUCAGCACCUUACGGGAAACUAAAGUCUUUGGGUUCCGGGGGGAGUAUGGUCGCAAGGCUGAAACUUAAAGGAAUUGACGGAAGGGCACCACCAGGAGUGGAGCCUGCGGCUUAAUUUGACUCAACACGGGGAAACUUACCAGGUCCAGACAUUGUGAGGAUUGACAGAUUGAGAGCUCUUUCUUGAUUCGAUGGGUGGUGGUGCAUGGCCGUUCUUAGUUGGUGGAGUGAUUUGUCUGGUUAAUUC
Molecule: ribosomal RNA, 702 nt
Filed under: uncultured marine eukaryote
Lineage: Eukaryota
Description: SSU rRNA
Rfam family: Eukaryotic small subunit ribosomal RNA
Source: RNAcentral